AUUGAACGCUGGCGGCAUGCCUAACACAUGCAAGUCGAACGGAGAUAGGGGCAACCUUAUUUCAGUGGCGGACGGGUGAGGAAUGCGUCGGAAUCUGCCCUAUGGUGGGGGAUAACACAGGGAAACUUGUGCUAAUACCGCAUAAUGUCGAGAGACCAAAGCAGGGGACCGGCAAGGCCUUGCGCGAUAGGAUGAGCCGACGCCCGAUUAGCUUGUUGGUAGGGUAAUGGCCUACCAAGGCGACGAUCGGUAGCUGGUCUGAGAGGAUGAUCAGCCACACUGGGACUGAGACACGGCCCAGACUCCUACGGGAGGCAGCAGUGGGGAAUAUUGGACAAUGGCGGCAAGCCUUGAUCCAGCAAUGCCGCGUGUGUGAAAG
Molecule: ribosomal RNA, 379 nt
Filed under: uncultured bacterium
Lineage: Bacteria
Description: bacterial SSU rRNA
Rfam family: Bacterial small subunit ribosomal RNA
Source: RNAcentral